UACGUAGGGUGCGAGCGUUAAUCGGAAUUACUGGGCGUAAAGUGUGCGCAGGCGGCCGCGCAAGUCGAGUGUGAAAGCCCCGAGCUUAACUUGGGAAUUGCGCUCGAAACUACGUGGCUGGAGUGUGGCAGAGGAAGGUGGAAUUCCAGGUGUAGCGGUGAAAUGCGUAGAGAUCUGGAGGAACACCGAUGGCGAAGACAGCCUUCUGGGCCAACACUGACGCUCAUGCACGAAAGCGUGGGGAGCAAACAGG
Molecule: ribosomal RNA, 253 nt
Filed under: uncultured bacterium
Lineage: Bacteria
Description: partial 16S ribosomal RNA
Rfam family: Bacterial small subunit ribosomal RNA
Source: RNAcentral